Molecule: ribosomal RNA, 499 nt
Filed under: uncultured bacterium
Lineage: Bacteria
Description: SSU rRNA
Rfam family: Bacterial small subunit ribosomal RNA
Source: RNAcentral
AGAUUGAACGCUGGCGGCGUGCCUAACACAUGCAAGUCGAGCGGUAACAGGUGUAGCAAUACAUGCUGACGAGCGGCGAACGGGUGAGUAAUGCUUUGGAAUCUUCCCAGUAGUGGGGAAUAACCAGUCGAAAGAUUGGCUAAUACCGCAUACGUCUGUAAAGGGAAAGCGGGGGCUCGUAAGACCUCGCGCUAUUGGAUGAGCCAAAGUCGGAUUAGCUAGUUGGUGGGGUAAUGGCCUACCAAGGCGACAAUCCGUAGCUGGUCUGAGAGGACGACCAGCCACACCGGGAACUGAGACACGGUCCGGACUCCUACGGGAGGCAGCAGUGGGGAAUAUUGGACAAUGGGGGAAACCCUGAUCCAGCGACGCCGCGUGUGUGAAGAAGGCCUGCGGUUGUAAGCACUUUUAGUGGGGACAAAAGCUACGGACUAAUAUUCUGUGGUCUUGAUUUAACCCAAAGAAAAGCACCGGCUAACUCUGCGCUAGCAGCCGCGGU